RNAcentral lists this unclassified non-coding RNA (284 nucleotides) under plant metagenome. RNAcentral's name for it is "partial contains small subunit ribosomal RNA, internal transcribed spacer 1, and 5.8S ribosomal RNA". The stretch from base 1 to 54 matches the Rfam family "Eukaryotic small subunit ribosomal RNA", at positions 1778 to 1831 of the family's 1831-position model. The record is from RNAcentral.
GGAAGUAGAAGUCGUAACAAGGUCUCCGUUGGUGAACCAGCGGAGGGAUCAUUACCGAGUUUACAACUCCCAAACCCCUAUGUGAACGUUACCAAACUGUUGCCUCGGCGGGAAAUUCAUGCCCCGGGCGCGUCGCAGCCCCGGACCAAGGCGCCCGCCGGAGGACCAACCAAAACUCUUUUGUAUGUCACUCGCGGACUUUUAUAAUUCUGAACCAUCUCGGCGCCCCUAGCGGGCGUUUCGAAAAUGAAUCAAAACUUUCAACAACGGAUCUCUUGGUUCUG